Molecule: ribosomal RNA, 253 nt
Filed under: uncultured bacterium
Lineage: Bacteria
Description: partial 16S ribosomal RNA
Rfam family: Bacterial small subunit ribosomal RNA
Source: RNAcentral
UACGUAGGGUGCGAGCGUUAAUCGGAAUUACUGGGCGUAAAGCGUGCGCAGGCGGUUUUGUAAGCCUGAUGUGAAAGCCCCGGGCUCAACCUGGGAAUGGCAUUUGGGACUGCAAGGCUUGAGUGCGGCAGAGGAGACUGGAAUUCCUGGUGUAGCAGUGAAAUGCGUAGAUAUCAGGAGGAAUACCGAUGGCGAAGGCAGGUCUCUGGGCUGACACUGACGCUCAUGCACGAAAGCGUGGGGAGCAAACAGG